RNAcentral lists this ribosomal RNA (2906 nucleotides) under Candidatus Woesearchaeota archaeon. Its description in RNAcentral is "23S ribosomal RNA". It matches the Rfam family "Archaeal large subunit ribosomal RNA". Lineage: Archaea; Nanobdellati; Candidatus Woesearchaeota. The record is from RNAcentral.
GAGAUUCCUGACGCUGUUAGGUGGAUGACUUGGCUUAGAAUAAUGAUGAAGGGCGUGGCAAGCUACGAAAUGCUUCGGCGAGCCGCAUGCAGGCUUUGAACCGAAGGUACCCGAAUAGGACAUCCUUUAAAGUCUUAAUAGGACAAAGAACGCAGGGGAACGAAGCGUCCAAGUACCUGCAGGAAAAGAAAUCAAUGAGAUGCCACUAGUAAGGGCGACUGAAAAUGGUAUAAGGCAAACUGAAUCCUUCAUAGUAAUAUGAUGGAGAUGUGGUGUUACAGACUGCCUUUCGACCCGACCCUGGAGACUCAAACUCCACUGGAAUGUGGGGCCUUAGAGGGUGAAAGCCCCGUAGAGGUAACCAGGAGGGUUUGGCAGUAUCUUGAGUACUGCUUCCCGGAAACGAAGCAGGAAUAUGGGACUCAUCAAGUUCCAACCUUAAACACAUUCUAAGACCGAUAGAGUAUAGUACCGUGAGGGAACGUUUAAAAGUACCCUUAAUAGGGAGUGAAAAGAACCUGAAACCUAACAGUAAUAAGUAGAUAGGGCACUAAGGUGUUCUAUCAUCCGUUUCGAAUAACGUGCCAGGGAGUGCAUCUGAGUGGCAAGAUUAAUUCUUUUUGAAGUAAUCAUAGGGAAACCAAAUGCCCGCAGUUUACGAGGGGCGAGGUACUAAUCUGCCUUUAGUCACUUGGAUGCGACCCGAAACCGCUUGAUCUUACCCUGGGUAGGGUGAAGCAAAGGUAAUACUUUGUGGAGGCCCGCAGAGGUGCUGUCAGCAAAAUGUUCUUUUAACCUGGGGUAAGGGGUGAAAAGCCAAUCGAAAGCGGUGAUAGCUGGUUCCUACCGAAGUUGGCCGCAGUCAAGUCUCAACGGAGAUAAUAGAAAAGGUAGAGAUACGGAUAGGGAGUUUAGGCCGGGAAACUGGUCGGUUCUCUGUCCAACUCCGAAUUUUUCUAUAUCGUAGAUGUUGGGAAACGGGGGUCCGGGGUAAGCUUGGAUUCCGAGAGGGGAACAACCCAGACCAUGGUUAAGGCCCCUAAAUGCUAAUUAAGUGUUAAAGGGUUAAAAGUGUCUAUAGUCAAAGACAGCGAGGAGGUUGGCUUAGAAGCAGCCAUCCUAUAAUAAGUGCGUAACAGCUUACUUGUCAAGACUAUUGGUCUUGAAAAUGGACGGGGCUAAAUUAGCUGCCGAUACCAUGGGCCAUCGUAAGAUGUGCGGUAGGUAGGCGUUUUGCUAGAGUAGAAGUGUCUCCACGAGGAGGCAUGGAUCUGGCUGAAAUGAGAAUCCUGGUGGUAGUAGGAUCAUAGCAGUGUGAGAAUCACUGCCGCUGAAAGGGCAAGGGUUCCUUGACAAUGCAGUUCAGUCAAGGGUAAGUUAAUCCUAACCAAGCUCCUAACUGGAGUAAUGGGAAUGGGAAAAAGGUUAAUAUUCCUUUACUAUCUGAGUAUGUGCGGCGACGCAAGCUUUUUUCCUGACGGUUUAGGCUAAAUCAACGAGAAUUCUCGUUUUCGUUAAUAAGGAUAAGUCAAUAGAGUAUCGUAAUGAUGAGAAAUUGAGUAAACCUUAGAAUAGUGGGUUGUAUAAUCCAUUUGGUUGAGGCCUUGAUCCCUUGAAAAGGGAAAAUAGAAAAAUCUUAGAUAAUUAUACCCAGAACCAACACAGGUGCCCCUAGGUGAGUAGCCUAAAGUGUGAUGGACUAAUGUAAUUGAGGGAAUUCGGCAAUCUAGCCCUGUGCCUUCGGUAUAAGGGGUCCCUGUGUUUGUAACCGUAUGGUUGCGAUCGCAGGGUGCAAUAACUAGGGAGGUCCGACUGUUUAACAAAAACUUAACCCCCUGCCAGCCCGUAAGGGUGUGUACAGAGGGUGACGUCUGCCCAGUGCCAGUAAUUUAAACCCGGGUUCAACCGGGCUAAGAUCUGGUAAACGGCGGGAGUAACUAUAACUCUCUUAAGGUAGCGUAAUACCUUGCCGUUUGAUUGACGGCUUGCAUGAAUGGCGUAACGAGAUCUCCGUUGUCCCCAAUUACAAUCCACCGAACACUCUUUCCCGGUGCAGAAGUCGGGAAUCUCCAGUGGGAUGUGAAGACCCCAUGGAACUUUACUGUAGCUUGUGACUGCGAUGUGAAUUAGGUUGUACAGCGUAAGUGGGAGUUGUUAAGUUACGGACGCCAGUCCGUGAAUAGACGACAAUGAAACACCACUCUUCUGAAUUUACAUCGCUUACUAAAAUUAACUUUUUAGGACACUUACAGGUGGACAGUUUCGCUGGGGCGGCAGCCCGCUGAAAUGAUAUCAGCGGGGCCCAAUGGUUGACUCAUCCGGGUCAGAAAUCCGGAGUAGAGCGUAAGGGCAAAUGUCAGCCUGACAGGAUUUCUAACAAGGGGAAAUCCUGCAAAGAAAUUUCGGCCUAACGAUCUCCUAUGCCUUUUUGAUGAGGGCUAGGAUUGUCCGAAAAGCUAUCCUGGGGAUAAUAGAGUCGUCGCGCCCGAGCGUUCACAGCGACGGCGCGGCUUGCUUCGUCGAUGUCGGCUCUUCCUAUCCUGGGCGUGCAGAAGCGCCCAAGGGUGGGGGUGUUCACCCAUUAAAAGGGAUCGUGAGCUGGGUUCAGAACGUUGUGAGACAGUUUGUUUAUUAUCUACUGGAGAUGUUCAAUGUCUGAGAGGAAGGAUUUUCUAGUACGAAAGGAACGAAAGUUCGAUGCCACUGGUCGAUCGGUUAUCCGGGAGGGUAUGCCGAGCAGCUACGCAUUAAAAGAUAAGCGCUGAAAGCAUCUAAGCACGAAACUUGCCUCAAAAAGAGACAUUAGAAGCGCGAGUAAAACACUCGGUUGAUGGGAUCGGUGUAUAAGCAUCAAGCUUAAGCGAGAUGUUAAGCAUGCGAUUACCAAUAGCUUCAAAAGGACUUAA